AUUCUCUUAGUUCAAAGGUAGAACAGCAUUCUUCUAAAGUGUAAAUUUUGGUUCGAUCCCAAAAGAGAAUU
RNAcentral lists this transfer RNA (71 nucleotides) under Laetiporus sulphureus. RNAcentral's name for it is "tRNA-Arg". It matches the Rfam family "tRNA". Rfam says of the family: Transfer RNA (tRNA) molecules are approximately 80 nucleotides in length. Their secondary structure includes four short double-helical elements and three loops (D, anti-codon, and T loops). Further hydrogen bonds mediate the characteristic L-shaped molecular structure. tRNAs have two regions of fundamental functional importance: the anti-codon, which is responsible for specific mRNA codon recognition, and the 3' end, to which the tRNAs corresponding amino acid is attached (by aminoacyl-tRNA synthetases). tRNAs cope with the degeneracy of the genetic code in two manners: having more than one tRNA (with a specific anti-codon) for a particular amino acid; and 'wobble' base-pairing, i.e. permitting non-standard base-pairing at the 3rd anti-codon position. RNAcentral also lists the same sequence under 1 other name. Lineage: Eukaryota; Fungi; Basidiomycota; Agaricomycetes; Polyporales; Laetiporaceae. The record is from RNAcentral.